Molecule: long non-coding RNA, 999 nt
Organism: Mastomys coucha (southern multimammate mouse)
Lineage: Eukaryota; Metazoa; Chordata; Mammalia; Rodentia; Muridae
Exons: 2
Source: RefSeq, a predicted model, not a curated record
UAGCCUCAGUUUGCAGGUGUCGCUGGCUCUUUUAUGUCCCCACCGAUCGUUGCUUGGUCUCCCUACUUCUGAAAUGUCUCUGGAUGCUGUUUUAUUAUGUAGAGUCAGGCAAAAGACAGACGGCUGUGUAUGUGAAGCCGUGAUGAAGCUGGCACCGGGUCUGCUGUGUCUGUGGUAGUUUAUUACUGCUGCCAGCAGAAGAGAAAUCUGAUCCUGGCAGAUGCAGCCUGCUGUGAAUCAAUAUUUUACAGGACCUAUAGACAAGGAUGUGACGGCAGGAGUUGGGACAGCAGCACUUCUGUGGAAAAGACCAAGGAACUAUAUUUUUGCCUGACCUAGAGUAGUGGAUUCUCAAGGGGUGAGAAUUAAUUAAACUCCAGUCUGAUGCCUCUGAGCAAGGUGCUCUCAGCACAGUGAAGGUGUGAGAAAUAUACAAAACAUAAAACAAAAUGAAACUAAACAAAAACGAAUCGCCACAUCUCUGUCUUCAAGGAGAAUCACAACAUAUACACGACCUGCUCUUCUGUGAGAUGGACUGCUGAAUGUCCAUGACAUGGACAGUCAGUUCUCCAACAGCCCAGAAUUGCAGCCUUGGUAUCUGAAAGGAAUCUUGGAAUAAGAAAUAAGAAAGGAUGACUACAGGCUUACCAGCAGGACCUGGGCAAGCCACAAGAUACUUGAGCAUCUUCAUGGAAAGACUACAUAUCCACAUGGAAUCUGGGUCUUGCAAGAUGAAUUUUAACAGGAAAACAGACAAGAGGGUUCUUGGACAAAGAGACUGCUCGAGUCAGCACUUUCUAUGCUGUGUUCCACAUUUAAAAAAUAAAAAACACAGGGCACACAAGAGAGGUGUUAUAAGAAAUAGCCUUUUAAAAAAUAAAUGUUAAGGCUUUCAACUUACACGGAGAUUAAAAAUUAUCAUAGGUUAAAGUUCUUUGAUGAGAAAAAGUCUCAGAGAAAAAGGAGGAAGUGAAUAAUAAUUAAUAUUUAUAUGAACUA